Zonotrichia leucophrys gambelii is the source of this 2173-nucleotide long non-coding RNA. RefSeq lists it as uncharacterized. The record is from RefSeq and is a predicted model, not a curated record. Lineage: Eukaryota; Metazoa; Chordata; Aves; Passeriformes; Passerellidae. The transcript has 3 exons.
CAGCAGCACAGAGGGAGCUGCACAGUUGCUAUAAAGCAGGAAGGAAAAGUGCAUCUCUCAUCAGUAAAGCUGUUGGCUGUGCUUUGCUUUGCACUGCAUUUGUAUCCCUGCAUUUGUCAGCUUUUCUUGCCUUUUGUUUUGCCAGGCUGUUACUGCGGCAGAGAAGUCAAUAAACACAAGUUUCAAUGAGCCACUAAAAAGAGCAAGGACCAAGAAGCCCAGUUCCCAGAGGUGGUGAUGGUACCUGAAGGGAAUGGACAGCAGGUGGAAGAUGGUUAAAUCCUUGAGACAGCCCUGAUGUCAUUUUGUCCUCAUUCUUUGUCCAAAAGAUGAUGGCCACAUGUGUCUGGCCUGGCAGGAGCUUUCUUGUGAAUUAAUGAAACAUCAAGGCUGCACUGCCAGCCAGAUUGCAGUGGUGUGUUUCCAGGAGAGAGCCUGAGCUGGCAGACCCUCAGCUGCUACAAAUCAAUUAAGUCCCUCUGAUUCCAGCAGAGAGGGCCACUGAGUACAGCUGCAGGAUCUGGCCCAUUCCACACUGGAACAGAAAGACUGCAUUCAUUUUGCCGAGAGCUGGACUAGUUAAAAUUUAAAUGCUGUUAAAUUUUAAAAUCCCAAUUUAAUUUAAAAUUCCCUUUGCAGUUUCUUUUAGUGACAGCAUUGCUCAUUUCUGCUGAGAAGCUGAGACCUAACCUUUGGCUGAGACUGCCACAUGAGGGUUUCACUGUCCUGUGGCCAGCAGGUGUGAUGUGUCUUGCCCUCAAAUUUUUUUAUGAGCCCGGUUUCUUGCUUCUCUUGGUCAAAUAACUGUAAUAAGAAUAAUCAUGGAAUCACAGAAUCAUGGAAUCAAAAAUGGGUUGGGUUGGAGGCACCUUAAAGAUUCUCCAGUUCCAACCCCGUGCUACAGGCAGGGACAGCUUCCCCUGGACCAGGCUGCUCACAGCUCCAUCCAGCCUGGCCUAAAUAGCAUCAAAGGUCAGCCAGAACUCCCCAAAUUGCCUGAAUCCCUGGAAAGCAGCAGCAUGCCUUGGUUCUGGCAGGAGAGGAAGCGCAACAGAGAAGGAGUCCCUUGUCUAUGGCACAGCCCUAGUGCCCAGGCAGGCUGCAAAGACUUAAAGUGCUUCUAACAUUCAUGGCCCAGCCCUACAUACACUAUGCGUGCACUGAAGGCUUCAGUUUUGGGAAGAGAGGAUUCUGCUAGCUCCCUGGACAGACUUUUGGACACGUUGCAGGGCUGUUGCAAUGCUUGCAUUUGUGGGGAGUGAGUUUGACUGCAGUGUGAAGAGAAGCCCAAUGUCUGAGUGUGCAGACCUGGCUGUGUUUCCCUAUGUCCCACAUUGACAUGUGAGUGUUCUGCCUUAUUAAAAGUUAUUUCAUGGCAUCUGCUCCCCAGUUAGCUGGGCAUCAGUGAAGAAGAAAAUCCUCCUCUCCCUCAGCUCAUGGCUGUGAGGGAAGGGGUUGUCCUGGACAGAGAGCUGCAGAAAAAAGAAAUGGAGAAGAGUUGGGAGUGGGGAAGGAGGCCAGGGGUUAAAGCAAGAGGAACAAGGGUUAAAGGGAGCUUGGAGGGGCUGAGGAGGUAUUGUUAGACCUGGGAGAGCUUUGCUUGUGCCCACAGGCAGAGCUGCACCCUAGAGGGCAGCACCACAUCCCAGGCAGGUCUCUUCAGUUCACCCCUUGCUUUCUGGUAAGACGUGAGAUUUUGAGCUUCCAACCAGCAACUGGGUUUGUAAUUUGGCAAAGAAACUUGAUAAAAAACAGGCCAACAACCCAAAGCAUGUCAUCACAAAGUGUUACAGCCCAUGCAUUUAGCACCUCGCUGCAAAGGCCAGCUGAGAGCCAACUUUCCAGUGUAAUUUUCCUGCACAUCUGCCAAGCAGCAUGUGGAAAGAGCCAUCUGUGUGUCCUACCAGGGCAUUUCCCAGUCACAGCUUCUAAAGGGUAACUAAAAAACUGCCUGCUGUACAUGCCAUUGCUCAGAAGGUCUAGAGUUUUCACAAAAAUAUGAGUUAAAGAUGAGAGAACAACUGAUGACUCCUGCUGUUCAGUCUGCUCUGUCUGGAUGUGGAGCUAAUCAGACCACUCAGCAAAAUUAACAUCUCCUAAGUACUUCAUAAUCCAAUUUAUGUUUUAAAAAUUUUGCUUUAAAGAAAUAAUAGGAGAAAGAAAGACAGGAAGA